AUUUAAGUAGUUUAAUAAAAAUAGCGAUUUGUGGUGUCGUUGAUAUAAUUUAUUAUCUUGAAUU
This 64-nucleotide transfer RNA is filed under the name Lampyris noctiluca. RNAcentral describes it as "tRNA-His". The record is from RNAcentral. Lineage: Eukaryota; Metazoa; Arthropoda; Insecta; Coleoptera; Lampyridae.